This 490-nucleotide ribosomal RNA is filed under the name uncultured bacterium. RNAcentral's name for it is "partial 16S ribosomal RNA". It matches the Rfam family "Bacterial small subunit ribosomal RNA", at positions 29 to 507 of the family's 1533-position model. The record is from RNAcentral.
AGUGAACGCUGGCGGCAGGCCUAACACAUGCAAGUCGAACGGCAGCACAAGAGAGCUUGCUCUCUGGGUGGCGAGUGGCGGACGGGUGAGGAAUGCAUCGGAAUCUGCCCAUUUGUGGGGGAUAACCUCGGGAAACCGGGACUAAUACCGCAUACGACCUACGGGUGAAAGCAGGGGAUCUUCGGACCUUGCGCAGAUGGAUGAGCCGGUGCCGGAUUAGCUAGUUGGAGGGGUAAAGGCCCACCAAGGCGACGAUCCGUAGCUGGUCUGAGAGGAUGAUCAGCCACACUGGGACUGAGACACGGCCCAGACUCCUACGGGAGGCAGCAGUGGGGAAUAUUGGACAAUGGGCGCAAGCCUGAUCCAGCCAUGCCGCGUGUGUGAAGAAGGCCUUCGGGUUGUAAAGCACUUUUGUUGGGAAAGAAAAGCAGCCGGUUAAUACCCGGUUGUCAUGACGGUACCCAAAGAAUAAGCACCGGCUAACUUCGUG